This 465-nucleotide ribosomal RNA is filed under the name uncultured bacterium. RNAcentral's name for it is "partial 16S ribosomal RNA". It matches the Rfam family "Bacterial small subunit ribosomal RNA", at positions 28 to 507 of the family's 1533-position model. The record is from RNAcentral.
GACGAACGCUGGCGGCGUGCUUAACACGUGCAAGUCGAACGGAAAGGCCCUGCUUGCAGGGUACUCGAGUGGCGAACGGGUGAGUAACACGUGGGUGAUCUGCCCUGCACUUCGGGAUAAGCCUGGGAAACUGGGUCUAAUACCGGAUAGGAGCCAUUUUUAGUGUGAUGGUUGGAAAGUUUUUUCGGUGUAGGAUGAGCUCGCGGCCUAUCAGCUUGUUGGUGGGGUAAUGGCCUACCAAGGCGGCGACGGGUAGCCGGCCUGAGAGGGUGGACGGCCACAUUGGGACUGAGAUACGGCCCAGACUCCUACGGGAGGCAGCAGUGGGGAAUAUUGCACAAUGGGCGCAAGCCUGAUGCAGCGACGCCGCGUGGGGGAGGACGGCCUUCGGGUUGUAAACUCCUUUCGCUAGGGACGAAGCUUUUUGUGACGGUACCUAGAUAAGAAGCACCGGCUAACUACGUG